CUGCAGAUUGUUCUUGUAGCC
RNAcentral lists this non-coding RNA (21 nucleotides) under Rattus norvegicus (Norway rat). Lineage: Eukaryota; Metazoa; Chordata; Mammalia; Rodentia; Muridae. The record is from RNAcentral.